RNAcentral lists this long non-coding RNA (363 nucleotides) under Bos taurus (domestic cattle). RNAcentral describes it as "long non-coding RNA NONBTAT018869". Lineage: Eukaryota; Metazoa; Chordata; Mammalia; Artiodactyla; Bovidae. The record is from RNAcentral.
UUAAUUAAGUUCUGAGUUUGCACAUAAUCAGUUAUUUGUCCUGGGUAUAUUGCUUACUGAACAACAAUAUUGCUUAACCAAUAACUCUUUAUCAUUAGUAUUUAUUUCUUUAACAAGAGAUUUGAACUAGAAGACCUCUAAGUUCAACAAAUAUAUGGCCUGACUUUUUUUGAGCAAUACUGAUUUUAAAUUUCUUGUGACUGUAAUGUUUGUAAAUAAAAAAUAUCUAAUAUUCCAAUGUUGGGAUACUUUUCACCCCUGGUAGUGUUAUAGAAGUCAUUUAUUAAGUUAAGUGAUGGGUCUUGAUUUGGAAAAAUGUAGUCCUACCAUAUCUUUAUUCUUUUCCCAUACUAAAAUUAUGUG